RNAcentral lists this long non-coding RNA (213 nucleotides) under Mytilus galloprovincialis (Mediterranean mussel). Lineage: Eukaryota; Metazoa; Mollusca; Bivalvia; Mytilida; Mytilidae. The record is from RNAcentral.
AAGAGGGACGAAAGAUACCAAAGGGACAGUCAAACUCAUAAAUCUAAAACAAACUGACAACUCCAUGGCUAAAAAUGAAAAAGACAAACAGAAAAACAAUAGUACACACGACACAACAUAGAAAACUAAAGAAUAAACAACACGAACCCCACCAAAAACUAGGGGUGAUCUCAGGUGCUCCGGAAGGGUAAGCAGAUCCUGCUCCACAUGUGG